This 251-nucleotide ribosomal RNA is filed under the name uncultured bacterium. RNAcentral describes it as "partial 16S ribosomal RNA". It matches the Rfam family "Bacterial small subunit ribosomal RNA", at positions 524 to 776 of the family's 1533-position model. The record is from RNAcentral.
UACGUAGGGUGCAAGCGUUAAUCGGAAUUACUGGGCGUAAAGCGUGCGCAGGCGGUUAUGCAAGACAGAUGUGAAAUCCCCGGGCUUAACCUGGGAACUGCAUUUGUGACUGCAUAGCUGGAGUACGGCAGAGGGGGAUGGAAUUCCGCGUGUAGCAGUGAAAUGCGUAGAUAUGCGGAGGAACACCGAUGGCGAAGGCAGUCCCCUGGGCCUGUACUGACGCUCAUGCACGAAAGCGUGGGAGCAACAGG